GACGAACGCUGGCGGCGCGCCUAACACAUGCAAGUCGAGCGAUAACCAGGGGCUUGCCCCUGGGGACAGCGGCGAACGGGUGCGUAACACGUGAGCAACCUGCCCCAAAGACCGGGACAACCCGAGGAAACUCGGACUAAUACCGGAUGCCCUCACCGGAUCGCAUGGUCUGGUGAGGAAAUGGAUUCCGCUUUGGGAUGGGCUCGCGGUCUAUCAGCUUGUUGGUGGGGUAACGGCCUACCAAGGCGACGACGGAUAGCUGGUCUGAGAGGACGAUCAGCCACACUGGGACUGAGACACGGCCCAGACUCCUACGGGAGGCAGCAGUGGGGAAUCUUGCGCAAUGGGGGAAACCCUGACGCAGCGACGCCGCGUGCGGGAUGAAGGCCUUCGGGUUGUAAACCGCUUUCAGCAGGGACGAAAUUGACGGUACCUGCAGAAGAAGGCCCGGCCAACUACGUGCCAGCAGCCGCGGUAAUACGUAGGGGCCUAGCGUUGUCCGGAAUUAUUGGGCGUAAAGAGCUCGUAGGCGGUUCGGCAAGUCGGAUGUGAAAUCUCCACGCUUAACGUGGAGGGGCCAUUCGAAACCGCUGUGACUCGAGUCCGGUAGGGGAGUGUGGAAUUCCCGGUGUAGCGGUGAAAUGCGCAGAUAUCGGGAGGAACACCAGUAGCGAAGGCGGCACUCUGGGCCGGUACUGACGCUGAGGAGCGAAAGCGUGGGGAGCGAACAGGAUUAGAUACCCUGGUAGUCCACGCCGUAAACGUUGGGCACUAGGUGUGGGACUCUAUCGACGGGUUCCGUGCCGUAGCUAACGCAUUAAGUGCCCGCCUGGGGAGUACGGCCGCAGGCUAAACUCAAAGGAAUUGACGGGGGCCCGCACAGCGGCGGAGCGUGUGGCUUAAUUCGAUGCACGCGAAGAACUUACUGGGCUUGACUGUACGGUAAA
Molecule: ribosomal RNA, 947 nt
Filed under: uncultured Actinomycetes bacterium
Lineage: Bacteria; Bacillati; Actinomycetota; Actinomycetes
Description: bacterial SSU rRNA
Rfam family: Bacterial small subunit ribosomal RNA
Source: RNAcentral